This 254-nucleotide ribosomal RNA is filed under the name uncultured bacterium. RNAcentral describes it as "partial 16S ribosomal RNA". It matches the Rfam family "Bacterial small subunit ribosomal RNA", at positions 524 to 775 of the family's 1533-position model. The record is from RNAcentral.
UACGGAGGGUGCGAGCGUUGUCCGGAAUCACUGGGCGUAAAGGGCGCGUAGGUGGCGGAGCAAGUCAACGGUGAAAGCUCGACGCUCAACGUCGAGUCGGCCGUCGAGACUGCUUUGCUCGAGCACUGUAGAGGCAGAUGGAAUUCCGGGUGUAGCGGUGGAAUGCGUAGAGAUCCGGAAGAACACCGGUGGCGAAGGCGGCCUGCUGGGCAGUUUUGCUGACACUGAGGCGCGACAGCGUGGGGAGCAACAGG